Molecule: transfer RNA, 97 nt
Filed under: Dolichospermum flos-aquae LEGE 04289
Lineage: Bacteria; Bacillati; Cyanobacteriota; Cyanophyceae; Nostocales; Aphanizomenonaceae
Description: tRNA-OTHER
Rfam family: tRNA
About the family: Transfer RNA (tRNA) molecules are approximately 80 nucleotides in length. Their secondary structure includes four short double-helical elements and three loops (D, anti-codon, and T loops). Further hydrogen bonds mediate the characteristic L-shaped molecular structure. tRNAs have two regions of fundamental functional importance: the anti-codon, which is responsible for specific mRNA codon recognition, and the 3' end, to which the tRNAs corresponding amino acid is attached (by aminoacyl-tRNA synthetases). tRNAs cope with the degeneracy of the genetic code in two manners: having more than one tRNA (with a specific anti-codon) for a particular amino acid; and 'wobble' base-pairing, i.e. permitting non-standard base-pairing at the 3rd anti-codon position.
Source: RNAcentral
GGAGAAGUAGCUCAAUGGUAGAGCCCCCUCUUGACAAGGGUUUCUACGGAAACCUUUUUCAAGGGGCUGGUUAUGGGUUCAACUCCCAUCUUCUCCA